Monodelphis domestica (gray short-tailed opossum) is the source of this 926-nucleotide long non-coding RNA. RefSeq lists it as uncharacterized. NCBI's taxonomy places the organism in Eukaryota, Metazoa, Chordata, Mammalia, Didelphimorphia, Didelphidae. The record is from RefSeq and is a predicted model, not a curated record.
UAGAAGCUAUAAAUAACUUUAUUCUAUGUUAAGAUGGAGCAAGAAGGGUUUUGGAAUUCUAUGGUUGAUUGACAGGAAUGGAAUGACAGUUGGAAGAGCAAAGGCUUACGGUAGAAGAACAGUGGGCUGAGGGGAUUCUGAACACCCCCUGGGUCUUCUACCUCAGGACUGAGAGCUGAAAGGUUUGGUUUCUUGGUGGCUGAAGAACUUCUGAAGCCACUAGUGAAGACUCUGCUUCUUGCCUUAAACCAGUAGCUGUUUUCUCUCCAGAAAUCCUAUUACUGUUUCCUCCACCUGCUGCAAGCAUCACAGACCUUGAGGGGUGAAGAAUAAUGGAUGCCCCAAGUCUCUGAAGAAUUUAAGUUGACAGUCAACUAAAGGACAACGGGUAGACCAUAGCUGGCAUUAGUGAAAUGCAAUAUGUUUCCUACAAAGAACUGCACAGUAAAAUAUCAUAAGUUAAAGAGGAAGAUGAUAUAUUCUACUGAAACUGUUCUGGGUCAGGAAGACCCGAGUUUAAAUCACUACUGAGACAUUGACCAGUUGUUGUGACCCUGGAACAAGUUAACAAGUCUUUUGAUCAAUCAGUCUAUCAACUAACUCAAACCUUAGCUGUAAUGUGCUACUAACACAGGGGAUUUCUCCUAAUGACAAAAUUAUAGGCAAUAUCUGCUAAAUGUUUUUUAUUAAAAAAAAUGUGUGACAUUUAUAUGACUUCUUGUUGGGGUGUGAGGAGAGAUAUAGAAUUUGAUUAAAGUUUUGUCUUCUUCAAAAAAAAAUUUCUUCCCAAUAAAGAAUUUCUUCCCAAUAAAGGUCAUACAAUCAUUAUCUAACCUUGUCUAUUUGUUUAUCAUGUCUCUUUUUAAUAUAAGACUUUUGGGGGGAGGAAUAAAAGAGUAAGAUAUUAUUUAAUACUUAAUUUGUAU